CCUACGGGGUGCAGCAGUGAGGAAUAUUGGUCAAUGGACGAGAGUCUGAACCAGCCAAGUAGCGUGAAGGAUGACUGCCCUAUGGGUUGUAAACUUCUUUUAUAAAGGAAUAAAACGAGGCACGUGUGCCUUUUUGCAUGUACUUUAUGAAUAAGGAUCGGCUAACUCCGUGCCAGCAGCCGCGGUAAUACGGAGGAUCCGAGCGUUAUCCGGAUUUAUUGGGGUUAAAGGGUGCGUAGGUGGGUUGUUAAGUCAGUUGUGAAAGUUUGCGGCUCAACCGUAAAAGUGCAAUUGAUACUGGUAUUCUUGAGUACAGUUGAAGUAUGCGGAAUGCGUGGUGUAGCGGUGAAAUGCUUAGAUAUCACGAAGAACCCCGAUUGCGAAGGCAGCUUACUAAACUUCGACUGACACUGAUGCUCGAAAGUGUGGGUAUCAAACAGGAUUAGAUACCCCGGUAGUC
RNAcentral lists this ribosomal RNA (460 nucleotides) under uncultured bacterium. RNAcentral describes it as "partial 16S ribosomal RNA". It matches the Rfam family "Bacterial small subunit ribosomal RNA", at positions 338 to 795 of the family's 1533-position model. The record is from RNAcentral.